CCCGGGGCAGCCGCCAGAUUCUGCGCCCCGGGCCGGGCCCCCUACCACCGCAGCCCGACUCAGUCGGGGGUCCCAGGAAUCCCAGGAGCAGCCAUAUGUGCCUUCCCUUAAAUGCGGGCGCAAAACCAAAUCGAAGAGAGCCAGUCGAGAGCUGCUCCCCGACACACACACACAGGGCCCAGAGGUGCCUUCCCCUUGGCCGAAGAGGAGGCUGGCAACAGAGGAGCAGCACCGUGGACUGAGAGGGAUGGGAAGGAGGACGACUUACGUUGGCCUGGCCCGCGGCCCCACGU
This is a long non-coding RNA of Manis javanica (Malayan pangolin), 293 nucleotides long. RefSeq lists it as uncharacterized. The record is from RefSeq and is a predicted model, not a curated record. NCBI's taxonomy places the organism in Eukaryota, Metazoa, Chordata, Mammalia, Pholidota, Manidae.